RNAcentral lists this ribosomal RNA (317 nucleotides) under Euborellia femoralis. Its description in RNAcentral is "eukaryotic LSU rRNA". It matches the Rfam family "Eukaryotic large subunit ribosomal RNA", at positions 770 to 1072 of the family's 3401-position model. The record is from RNAcentral. Lineage: Eukaryota; Metazoa; Arthropoda; Insecta; Dermaptera; Anisolabididae.
UCUCAUUCUCAUUGUGAGAAGAGGCGCACCUUGAGCGUACACGUUGGGACCCGAAAGAUGGUGAACUAUGCCUGGCGAGGACAAAGUCAGGGGAAACCCUGAUGGAGGUCCGUAGCGAUUCUGACGUGCAAAUCGAUCGUCGGAGCUGGGUAUAGGGGCGAAAGACUAAUCGAACCAUCUAGUAGCUGGUUCCCUCCGAAGUUUCCCUCAGGAUAGCUGGCAUUCGUAUCAAUAAAAUACGAGUCUCAUGCGGUAAAGCGAAUGAUUAGAGGCCUUGGGGCCGAAACGACCUCAACCUAUUCUCAAACUUUAAAUGG